GUGGGGAAUAUUGGACAAUGGGCGCAAGCCUGAUCCAGCCAUGCCGCGUGAGUGAUGACGGCCCUAGGGUUGUAAAGCUCUUUCACCGGUGAAGAUAAUGACGGUACCCACAGAGGAAGCACCGGCUAACUCCGUGCCAGCAGCCGCGGUAAUACGGAGGGUGCAAGCGCUGUUCGGAAUUACUGGGCGUAAAGCGCACGUAGGCGGACAUUUAAGUCAGUGGUGAAAUCCCGGGGCUCAACCCCGGAACUGCCUUUGAUACUGGGUGUCUGGAGUAUGGAAGAGGGAAGUGGAAUUCCGAGUGUAGAGGUGAAAUUCGUAGAUAUUCGGAGGAACACCAGUGGCGAAGGCGGCUUACUGGUCCAUUACUGACGCUGAGGUGCGAAAGCGUGGGGAGCAAACAGGAUUAGAAACCCUAGUAGUCC
RNAcentral lists this ribosomal RNA (425 nucleotides) under uncultured bacterium. RNAcentral's name for it is "bacterial SSU rRNA". It matches the Rfam family "Bacterial small subunit ribosomal RNA", at positions 354 to 796 of the family's 1533-position model. The record is from RNAcentral.